CGUAACAAGGUUUCCGUAGGUGAACCUGCGGAAGGAUCAUUAACGAGUUUUUGAAACGGGUUGUUGCUGGCUUCCAAAAAGAAGCAUGUGCACGCCUGACUCAAUCCACUCUCAAACCCCUGUGCACUUAUUGUAGGCUUGGUGAUUGAAGAGCUCGCAAGAGUUCUGAUAGAGCCCUGUCUAUGCUUUUACAAACGCUUCAGUUUAAGAAUGUUACUCGCGUAUAACGCAAUAAAUACAACUUUCAGCAACGGAUCUCUUGGCUCUCGCAUCGAUGAAGAACGCAGCGAAAUGCGAUAAGUAAUGUGAAUUGCGGAAUUCAGUGAAUCAUCGAAUCUUUGAACGCACCUUGCGCUCCUUGGUAUUCCGAGGAGCAUGCCUGUUUGAGUGUCAUGGUAUUCUCAACUCUACAAAGCUUUUGCAAUGAAGAGUUGGAUUUGGAGGCUUGUGUCGGCUCGAAAGAGUUGACUCCUCUGAAAUGCAUUAGUGUGAGCCUUUACGGAUCGCCUCCAGUGUGAUAAUGUCUACGCUGUGGUGUUGAAGUAUUUCUAGUGUUCAUGCUUCUAAUCGUCCUCUUGGGACAAUCAUUUGACAAUCUGACCUCAAAUCAGGUAGGACUACCCGCUGAACUUAAGCAUAUCAAUAAGCGGAGGAAAAGAAACUAACAAGGAUUCCCCUAGUAACUGCGAGUGAAGCGGGAAAAGCUCAAAUUUAAAAUCUGGCAGUCUUUGGCUGUCCGAGUUGUAAUCUGGAGAA
This 756-nucleotide unclassified non-coding RNA is filed under the name uncultured Scopuloides. Its description in RNAcentral is "sequence contains ITS1, 5.8S rRNA gene and ITS2". The stretch from base 240 to 393 matches the Rfam family "5.8S ribosomal RNA". Lineage: Eukaryota; Fungi; Basidiomycota; Agaricomycetes; Polyporales; Meruliaceae. The record is from RNAcentral.